AGUCGAGCGGACGGAUGGGAGCUUGCUCCCUGAAGUCAGCGGCGGACGGGUGAGUAACAGCGUGGGCAACCUGCCUGUAAGACUGUGGAUAACUGUCGGGAAACCGAGAGCUAAUACCGGAUAAUGCAUUUCCCCUCAUGGGGAUAUGCUGAAAGAUGGUUUCAGGCUAUCACUUACAGAUGGGCCCGCGGCGCAUUAGCUAGUUGGUGAGGUAACGGCUCACCAAGGCAACGAUGCGUAGCCGACCUGAGAGGGUGAUCGGCCACACUGGGACUGAGACACGGCCCAGACUCCUACGGGAGGCAGCAGUAGGGAAUCUUCCGCAAUGGACGAAAGUCUGACGGAGCAACGCCGCGUGAGUGAUGAAGGUUUUCGGAUCGUAAAACUCUGUUGUCAGGGAAGAACAAGUGCCGGAGUAACUGCCGGCACCUUGACGGUACCUGACCAGAAAGCCACGGCUAACUACGUGCCAGCAGCCGCGGUAAUACGUACGUGGCAAGCGUUGUCCGGAAUUAUUGGGCGUAAAGCGCGCGCAGGCGGUCUCUUAAGUCUGAUGUGAAAGCCCACGGCUCAACCGUGGAGGGUCAUUGGAGACUGGGGGACUUGAGUGCAGAAUAGGAAAGUGGAAUUCCACGUGUAGCGGUGAAAUGCGUAGAGAUGUGGAGGAA
This 668-nucleotide ribosomal RNA is filed under the name Bacillus sp. CH161d. RNAcentral describes it as "bacterial SSU rRNA". It matches the Rfam family "Bacterial small subunit ribosomal RNA", at positions 60 to 706 of the family's 1533-position model. Lineage: Bacteria; Bacillati; Bacillota; Bacilli; Caryophanales; Bacillaceae. The record is from RNAcentral.